GGGGACGUAGCUCAGUUGGGAGAGCACCGCUUUUGCAAGGCGGGGGUCGUCGGUUCAAGUCCGAUCGUCUCCA
RNAcentral lists this transfer RNA (73 nucleotides) under Pirellulales bacterium. RNAcentral describes it as "tRNA-Ala". It matches the Rfam family "tRNA". From Rfam's summary of the family: Transfer RNA (tRNA) molecules are approximately 80 nucleotides in length. Lineage: Bacteria; Pseudomonadati; Planctomycetota; Planctomycetia; Pirellulales. The record is from RNAcentral.